AGUCGAGCGGAGACAGUGAGUAGCUUGCUAUGAGCUGUUUUAGCGGCGGACGGGUGAGUAACGCGUGAGCAACCUUUCCCAGACAGGGGAAUAACACACCGAAAGGUGUACUAAUACCGCAUAAGACCACGGGAUCACAUGGUUCUGGGGUAAAAGAUUUAUCGGUUUGGGGUGGGCUCGCGUCCGAUUAGGUAGUUGGUGAGGUAACGGCCCACCAAGCCGACGAUCGGUAGCCGACCUGAGAGGGUGAUCGGCCACAUUGGGACUGAGACACGGCCCAAACUCCUACGGGAGGCAGCAGUGGGGAAUAUUGGGCAAUGGGGGGAACCCUGACCCAGCAACGCCGCGUGGAGGAAGAAGGUUUUCGGAUCGUAAACUCCUGUCCUUGGAGACGAGUAGAAGACGGUAUCCAAGGAGGAAGCCCCGGCUAACUACGUGCCAGCAGCCGCGGUAAUACGUAGGGGGCAAGCGUUGUCCGGAAUAAUUGGGCGUAAAGGGCGCGUAGGCGGCUCGGUAAGUCUGGAGUGAAAGUCCUGCUUUUAAGGUGGG
RNAcentral lists this ribosomal RNA (549 nucleotides) under uncultured bacterium. Its description in RNAcentral is "bacterial SSU rRNA". It matches the Rfam family "Bacterial small subunit ribosomal RNA", at positions 60 to 618 of the family's 1533-position model. The record is from RNAcentral.